UAACACGUGGGUAACCUACCUAUAAGACUGGGAUAACUUCGGGAAACCGGAGCUAAUACCGGAUAACAUUUGGAACCGCAUGGUUCUAAAGUGAAAGAUGGUUUUGCUAUCACUUAUAGAUGGACCCGCGCCGUAUUAGCUAGCUGGUAAGGUAACGGCUUACCAAGGCGACGAUACGUAGCCGACCUGAGAGGGUGAUCGGCCACACUGGAACUGAGACACGGUCCAGACUCCUACGGGAGGCAGCAGUAGGGAAUCUUCCGCAAUGGGCGAAAGCCUGACGGAGCAACGCCGCGUGAGUGAUGAAGGGUUUCGGCUCGUAAAACUCUGUUAUUAGGGAAGAACAAACGUGUAAGUAACUGUGCACGUCUUGACGGUACCUAAUCAGAAAGCCACGGCUAACUACGUGCCAGCAGCCGCGGUAAUACGUAGGUGGCAAGCGUUAUCCGGAAUUACUGGGCGUAAAGCGCGCGUAGGCGGUUUCUUAAGUCUGAUGUGAAAGCCCACGGCUCAACCGUGGAGGGUCAUUGGAAACUGGGAAACUUGAGUGCAGAAGAGGAAAGUGGAAUUCCAUGUGUAGCGGUGAAAUGCGCAGAGAUAUGGAGGAACACCAGUGGCGAAGGCGACUUUCUGGUCUGUAACUGACGCUGAUGUGCGAAAGCGUGGGGAUCAAACAGGAUUAGAUACCCUGGUAGUCCACGCCGUAAACGAUGAGUGCUAAGUGU
This 725-nucleotide ribosomal RNA is filed under the name uncultured bacterium. RNAcentral's name for it is "bacterial SSU rRNA". It matches the Rfam family "Bacterial small subunit ribosomal RNA", at positions 111 to 823 of the family's 1533-position model. The record is from RNAcentral.